RNAcentral lists this ribosomal RNA (118 nucleotides) under Boodleopsis sp. H.0758. Lineage: Eukaryota; Viridiplantae; Chlorophyta; Ulvophyceae; Bryopsidales; Halimedaceae. The record is from RNAcentral.
UCUAGUGUCUAAUCUAGAUUUGAAACACUUCAAUCCUUUUCGAAUUUGAAAGUUCAACGAUCUAGGGGUUUUAAUACUAUAAAGGUUGCUUUAUGGGAAAAAAACCUGAUGCUAGAAA